This 215-nucleotide long non-coding RNA is filed under the name Lupinus angustifolius (narrow-leaved blue lupine). Its description in RNAcentral is "long non-coding RNA (LANG_LNC000071)". The record is from RNAcentral. Lineage: Eukaryota; Viridiplantae; Streptophyta; Magnoliopsida; Fabales; Fabaceae.
CUGAAUUAACAACAAAUAAAAAUAGAAGUUUAUGUGUGUUGCAACUUAAUGGUUAUUACCAUAUUUAGAUUUUAAAUUGGUUAUAGAAGAGAGAAAAAUAGAAGAAAAAACAGGAUCGUAUGAGAAAUACCUGAGAGUUGGAAGAAAUUAUUUUGUGAAGCCAAUAAAAUUAUUGGUUCUAAUGAAACAAAUUCCAAGCCAAGGUGAGUAGUAGA